AACGAACGCUGGCGGCAUGCCUAACACAUGCCAGUCGAACGAGACCUUCGGGUCUAGUGGCGCACGGGUGCGUAACGCGUGGGAACCUGCCCUUAGGUUCGGAAUAACUCCCCGAAAGGGGUGCUAAUACCGGAUAAUGUCUUCGGACCAAAGAUUUAUCGCCUUUGGAUGGGCCCGCGUUGGAUUAGCUAGUUGGUAGGGUAAAAGCCUACCAAGGCGACGAUCCAUAGCUGGUCUGAGAGGAUGAUCAGCCACACUGGGACUGAGACACGGCCCAGACUCCUACGGGAGGAAGCAGUGGGGAAUAGUGGAACACGGGGGAAAGCCUGAUCCUGCAAUGCCGCGUGAAUAAUGAAGGCCGGGGGGUUGUAAAGCUCUUGUAACUGGGAAGAUAAUGACGGGACCGGGAGAAUAAGCAACGGCUAACUCCGUG
RNAcentral lists this ribosomal RNA (433 nucleotides) under uncultured bacterium. RNAcentral describes it as "partial 16S ribosomal RNA". It matches the Rfam family "Bacterial small subunit ribosomal RNA", at positions 29 to 507 of the family's 1533-position model. The record is from RNAcentral.